AUUGAACGCUGGCGGAAUGCUUUACACAUGCAAGUCGAACGGCAGCACGGGUGCUUGCACCUGGUGGCGAGUGGCGAACGGGUGAGUAAUACAUCGGAACGUACCCAGUCGUGGGGGAUAACGUAGCGAAAGUUACGCUAAUACCGCUUACGUCCUGAGGGAGAAAGCGGGGGACCGUAAGGCCUCGCGCGAUUGGAGCGGCCGAUGGCGGAUUAGCUAGUUGGUGGGGUAAAGGCCUACCAAGGCGACGAUCCGUAGCGGGUCUGAGAGGACGGCCCGCCACACUGGAACUGAGACACGGUCCAGACUCCUACGGGAGGCAGCAGUGGGGAAUUUUGGACAAUGGGCGAAAGCCUGAUCCAGCCAUUCCGCGUGAGUGAAGAAGGCCUUCGGGCUGUAAAGCUCUUUCGGCAGGGAAGAAACGGCUUGGGAUAAUACCCCGGGCUAAUGACGGUACCUGAAGAAGAGGCACCGGCUAACUACGUGCCAGCAGCCGCCGUAA
RNAcentral lists this ribosomal RNA (502 nucleotides) under uncultured bacterium. RNAcentral's name for it is "partial 16S ribosomal RNA". It matches the Rfam family "Bacterial small subunit ribosomal RNA", at positions 29 to 523 of the family's 1533-position model. The record is from RNAcentral.